Molecule: ribosomal RNA, 468 nt
Filed under: uncultured bacterium
Lineage: Bacteria
Description: partial 16S ribosomal RNA
Rfam family: Bacterial small subunit ribosomal RNA
Source: RNAcentral
GACGAACGCUGGCGGCGUGCUUAACACAUGCAAGUCGAACGGAAAGGCCCUGCCUUUGUGGGGUGCUCGAGUGGCGAACGGGUGAGUAACACGUGAGUAACCUGCCCUUGACUUUGGGAUAACUUCAGGAAACUGGGGCUAAUACCGGAUAGGAGCUCCUGCUGCAUGGGGGGGGUUGGAAAGUUUCGGCGGUUGGGGAUGGACGCGCGGCUUAUCAGCUUGUUGGUGGGGUAGUGGCUUACCAAGGCUUUGCCGGGUAGCCGGCCUGGGUGGGGGCCCGGCCACUUUGGGCCUGGGAUACGGCCCGGACUCCUACGGGAGGCAGCGGUGGGGAAUAUUGCACAAUGGGCGGAGGCCUGAUGCAGCAACGCCGCGUGCGGGAGGACGGCCUUCGGUUUGUAAACCGCUUUCGCCGGUGACGAAGCGUGAGUGACGGUAAUGGGUAAAGAAGCACCGGCUAACUACGUG